Molecule: long non-coding RNA, 217 nt
Filed under: Hordeum vulgare
Lineage: Eukaryota; Viridiplantae; Streptophyta; Magnoliopsida; Poales; Poaceae
Description: long non-coding RNA (HVUL_LNC016386)
Source: RNAcentral
GGGUGGCCGACGCGGCAGGGCGCGGGAGGCGGCCUGCGUGGGAGGGCGGCAAGCACGGGAGGAGGCGGCCGGCGCAGGAGGAGGCCAACACGGCAGGAUUCCAUCCUCCCAACCAAACAAAAAAAGGGAUAACCCUACCCUUCCAACCAAACAAAAAAAGGGCUAUCCCUAGCCACCUGGUUGGGGAUACCCACAACCACCCUAGCCUAUCCCUCCA